Molecule: ribosomal RNA, 253 nt
Filed under: uncultured prokaryote
Description: partial 16S ribosomal RNA
Rfam family: Bacterial small subunit ribosomal RNA
Source: RNAcentral
UACAGAGGUCUCAAGCGUUGUUCGGAUUCAUUGGGCGUAAAGGGUGUGUAGGUGGCGCGCUAAGUCGGGUGUGAAAUCUCCGAGCUCAACUCGGAAACUGCAUUGGAAACUACCUUGCUCGAGGGUUGGAGGGGGGACUGGAAUGCUUGGUGUAGCAGUGAAAUGCGUAGAUAUCAAGCGGAACACCAGUGGCGAAGGCGAGUCCCUGGACAACUCCUGACACUGAGGCACGAAAGCUAGGGGAGCAAACAGG